UAAAUGAACUUAAAUUCAACUUAAAAUAUUUUUUAAACAAAUAAAGUAAAAAAUAAUAUUUUAAAGUUAAUUAAUAGAGGUUCAGCUCUAUUAAUAAAGGAUACAACCUAAAAUAAUGAAUAAUGACUAUAUUAAUUAAAGAAAUUAAUUUUGUGGGCUUAAAAGCAGCAAUCAAAACAAAAGCGUUAAAGCUUAAUUUAAUAAAUCUUAUUAUAACAAUAAAAUAAUCUUAAUUCAUUAAAACUAUUAAGUCAAUCUAUUUAAAUAGAUGUGAUUAUACUAGAAUAAGUAAUAAGAAAAUAUUCUCUUAGUGUAAGUGUACAUCAGAACGAAUACCUCACUGAUAAUUAACGAACCUUUUGAGGGAAAAAUAAUAUUUUACAAGAAAAGAUUAUUUAACCAAUCGUUAACCCGACACAGGAACACACUAGAAAGAUUAAAAAUAUAGGAAGGAACUCGGCAAACACGAACUUCGCCUGUUUACCAAAAACAUCGCCUCUUGCAACUAAAAUAUAAGAGGUCCUGCCUGCCCAGUGACACUAAGUUUAACGGCCGCGGUAUUAUGACCGUGCAAAGGUAGCGUAAUCACUUGUCUUUUAAAUAAAGACCAGUAUGAAUGGCAAGACGAAAGUUCAACUGUCUCCCUAAAUUAAUCAAUGAAAUUGAUUUUUCCGUGCAGAAGCGGAAAUAUAACUAUAAGACGAGAAGACCCUAUGGAGCUUUAAAUAUAUAAUCAAUUGCAUAACAUAAAAUCCGAAAGAUAAAAUAUAAAAUAAAACAGUAUGAUUAAAAUUUUAGGUUGGGGCGACCACGGAGAAAAACAAAACCUCCGAGAUGAAGAGAAUAUCUUAAUUCAAGAACUACAGUUCUAAAAAAUAAAAUAUUUAACAUAAUUGAUCCAAUAUAUUGAUCAACGAACCAAGUUACCCUAGGGAUAACAGCGCAAUCCUCUCCAAGAGUCCCUAUCGACGAGCGGGUUUACGACCUCGAUGUUGGAUCAGGACACCCCAAUGGUGCAGCCGCUAUUAAAGGUUCGUUUGUUCAACGAUUAAAGU
Molecule: ribosomal RNA, 1055 nt
Filed under: Hynobius ikioi
Lineage: Eukaryota; Metazoa; Chordata; Amphibia; Caudata; Hynobiidae
Description: partial 16S ribosomal RNA
Rfam family: Bacterial large subunit ribosomal RNA
Source: RNAcentral